GGCGGCGUAGCUCAGAUGGUUAGAGCAGCGGAUUCAUAGCCCGCAGGUCAUCGGUUCAAAUCCGAUCGCCGCUA
This is a non-coding RNA of Phycisphaerae bacterium SM23_30, 74 nucleotides long. The record is from Rfam. Lineage: Bacteria; Pseudomonadati; Planctomycetota; Phycisphaerae.